GAAGACCUGAGGUAUCAGGGGUAGGGGUUGCUCUGCUUGUGUAAGUCCCAUAGUGUGAAGGCCAGAGAACCAAGAGAUGGUCAAGAAGAGAGAGUAAGUGUCCAAUGUCCCAGCUCAAGAAGAGAGACAAGACCAACCCCGCCUCUUCCUUCUCCUUCUCGACCUACUCAAAGUAAAGAUGAGGAUGAAGACCCUUAAGAUGAUCCACUCCCACUUAAUGAAUAAAACUUUUGUGGAUAGCUAAGUUACUGCUAGCCAUCUGAUUAUAGCAAUGGCUUCCAGGAGCAUCACGACCUGUGCAGACUCCCCAGCAUCAUAACAGGAAGGUCCCACGAUCACGAGCACAUUGCCUUCAGCAUCCAGCACUGAAUAUGGUGAAUUGCACUCUGAAGAGCUUCCUAAGCUUGUAAGAAAGUGAUUCUGAAAAGCUCAACAUUUUGGUAGAAUGGAGAGAUUUGACAUUGCUUCUGCUCCAAAAGCAAAAGACUUGGGAAGGGCACCCUGGGAGUUGAGAACAUCCACCACAGAGAGAAAGAAUGCUGAUCCCUGUUCUGGGCACCUGUUCUGCACCCUUUUGGCCAGUCCUUCCAGCCUGUGGAGACAGCUACUGUCCUUGCUGACUGUGCUAGGCCUGGCGUAAAGGAGAUGGGACUCACACCCAAGAGGAUGCAUUUCCAUACACCCAUUUCUGAAAUAUGAAGAGGUGUCCAGUCUGUUUGAUUCAUAGCUGCCUGUUCCACAACUGCAGAUACAGUAAUUGAUAACCGAGACCAAGUUCUCAUCCCCAUCUCCCAGGGCUGGAACUGGGGCUGUGUUUGGUUCUCAUAAGAUCAGUUCCAGUUUUAGAAACUGAGUAAAUUGUGGAGUAAAUAUUGCCAAGUGAUGGCUUUCUGCUGUAGGCGUGGGUCGCUGUUGGCCAUUUGCCUCAGCAUAUCACCAGCAAUGCACCUCAUUGCAUCACUGCAUUUCCAAUUACACCUCAAAGCACCACUGGUCCCCUGUCCACCCUCUGCCCUGCAGAGGUGGGUGUUCAGGGAGACAGAUCCAAAAUCUGGGCUCAGAAGAUGGAAAUGCCAACUGCUCUCAAUUUGAGAGUGGGGAUGAGACUUUUUGACUCAACUCUGGUUAAUUCAGCCAUGCUGUCAGAGCUGCUUUGAUGCAAGGACAUCUGAAUGCUAUCUGAAUGCUGCCCCUAAAAUAACAAAUUAAAAACAACAACAACAAC
RNAcentral lists this long non-coding RNA (1225 nucleotides) under Homo sapiens (human). Its description in RNAcentral is "long non-coding RNA NONHSAT171882.1". The record is from RNAcentral. Lineage: Eukaryota; Metazoa; Chordata; Mammalia; Primates; Hominidae.